Homo sapiens (human) is the source of this 148-nucleotide non-coding RNA. It matches the Rfam family "Metazoan signal recognition particle RNA". From Rfam's summary of the family: The signal recognition particle (SRP) is a universally conserved ribonucleoprotein. It is involved in the co-translational targeting of proteins to membranes. The eukaryotic SRP consists of a 300-nucleotide 7S RNA and six proteins: SRPs 72, 68, 54, 19, 14, and 9. The record is from Rfam. NCBI's taxonomy places the organism in Eukaryota, Metazoa, Chordata, Mammalia, Primates, Hominidae.
GCCAGGCGUGGUGGUGCAUGCCUGUAGUCCCAGCUACUUAGGAGGCUGAGGUGGGAGGAUCGCUUGAGCCCAGGAGGUCAAGGCUGUAGUAAGCCAUGAUCACACCACUGCACUGCAGCCUGGGCUACACAGUGAGACCCUGUCUCAU